Anolis carolinensis (green anole) is the source of this 98-nucleotide Y RNA. It matches the Rfam family "Y RNA". From Rfam's summary of the family: Y RNAs are components of the Ro ribonucleoprotein particle (Ro RNP), in association with Ro60 and La proteins. The Y RNAs and Ro60 and La proteins are well conserved, but the function of the Ro RNP is not known. In humans the RNA component can be one of four small RNAs -- hY1, hY3, hY4 and hY5. The record is from Ensembl. NCBI's taxonomy places the organism in Eukaryota, Metazoa, Chordata, Lepidosauria, Squamata, Anolidae.
GGCUGGUCCGAAAGUAGUGGGUUACCACAGAAAUUAUUACAGUUAGUUUCACUAACCUUUCUAAGUUCCACCCCACUGCUAACCUUGACUGGUCUCCU